CAAAAAUGAUAAUUUAUCAUUCUCUACUUAGAUCUAUGAAAAACCGAUGAUUAUGUUGUUGAUUAUAUUUGUUGUUGUUAUUGCAGGUUUCGAUCAAAUGCGGAUCUCCUCUUCCCUUUUGAUUUUUCAAGUAUGUCUUAGAUUUGAAGUUGGGAAAUAAUGGAAAGGUCGUUAAACGUUGUUCCUCUCAUUUUUCAGUUUAUAUGAGUCUAUAUGAAAGAAGCACACUAUGUGGUGGCAUUUGAGAGGUCUUUGCGUCCGUUGCGACUGCAUUAGGCGCUUUUGCCCAUAUUUUGCUGCAAUAUCAAGGGUUGGAGCAUAAUUGCAACCUCUAUUACCAGUGAAACUCUUAAAACAGUACGAUCUGUUUUUGUAACUUCAUCGCUAGAGAGAAAGGAAUCGACAGCAAAACCUGAGAAAAAUCCUCAAGAAGUUGAAAG
Molecule: long non-coding RNA, 440 nt
Organism: Vicia villosa (hairy vetch)
Lineage: Eukaryota; Viridiplantae; Streptophyta; Magnoliopsida; Fabales; Fabaceae
Exons: 4
Source: RefSeq, a predicted model, not a curated record